UAACAGGUGUGACGCAGGAAGGUAGCCAAGCCACGCGGUGGUUGUCGUGGUCUAAGCGUGUAGGAUGACUGGUUGUUAAAUGCGCCGGUUGUGUGUCUGAGACGUGAUGGGACCCCUUGUUUGUGGGGGAUUUGGUGAUCCUAUGCUGCCGAGAAAAGCAUCGGCGUGAGGUUUUAGCUGCCCGUACCCGAAACCGACACAGGUGAUCAGGUAGAGAAUACUAAGGCGAUCGAGAGAAUCAUGGUUAAGGAACUCGGCAAAAUGCCCCCGUAACUUCGGGAGAAGGGGGGCCCU
This 294-nucleotide ribosomal RNA is filed under the name Emiliania huxleyi. Its description in RNAcentral is "partial Bacterial large subunit ribosomal RNA". It matches the Rfam family "Bacterial large subunit ribosomal RNA", at positions 1459 to 1754 of the family's 2925-position model. Lineage: Eukaryota; Haptophyta; Isochrysidales; Noelaerhabdaceae. The record is from RNAcentral.